This is a long non-coding RNA of Hyla sarda, 2001 nucleotides long. RefSeq lists it as uncharacterized. The transcript has 2 exons. The record is from RefSeq and is a predicted model, not a curated record. Lineage: Eukaryota; Metazoa; Chordata; Amphibia; Anura; Hylidae.
UCUCUAUGAUGAGACCAAAUACAGGAAGUGAGGGCGGGACAAGCAGCGAUCUGUGCACUAAGAAAAAGCAGGACAGUGUGCACUGAGGCUCUAUAACAUGCUCCGGGCUCAUACAUCAGGAUGAUUGACAAACCAGGAGUCUGCACAGAUCCCUGCUUGUCCCGCCCUCACUUCCUGUAUUUGGUCUCAUCAUAGAGACACACAGAUAAUAGCUGCAGGGACAGCAUUUUUUCACCUAAAAAUAUACACAAUUUUUAAUCAAUGUAUAUUACAAAUAUAUAUAUAUAUAUAUAUAUAUAUAUAUAUAUAUAUAUAUAUAUAAUUGUAUUAUCUACAUUAUAUAAAAAGUUUUUGUUGACGACAGGUCCACUUUAACUUAGAAUACCCCUUUAAACCCGUUCCCUGCAAACUCUGCAGUAGUAACCAGGGAUCGACCAGGGAUCGUGUAAUGUCCCUUCACUUCCAGUCAUCUUGUGUGGCUACCACAUGAGAUCUCCUGGACACAAAAUACAUACUUAGAACUGGAAAUCUGCACCCGUCGGCCAAAUGGAUAACAUGGUAUGAAUAUCGCACUCCAAAUUUAUUUUAUAGCCCUGACAGUCAACUACCGGACACUACGCUGGUGGUCUUCAACUUGUCCCUGUACAGCUUUUGGGAAACUACAACUUCUAUCAUGCUCUGAUGAUUGCUGGGGGUUGUAGUUUCUCAGCAGCUGCUGAGCGACAGGUAAAAAGCCAUGACCCUAGGAAAAAGGCUAUUUGCAUUGUAGAUAACAUUCAAUCUGACCAUAGACUUUGCUUUGCUCUUAAAGGGGUAUUCUGGCUUUAUACAUCUUAUCCCCUAUCCAAAGGAUAGGGGGAUAAGAUGUCUGAUCGCAGGAGUCCUGCCGCUGGGGACCGCCCCCCUGCAAUCUCUGUGCAGCCCCUGGCAUUCUGUGCCAAGCGCUGCCUCCAAGAUGGGGACAUGACGUCAAGGCCACGCCUCCUCCUUUCAUGUCUACGGGAGGGGGCGUAAUGGCUGAGACGGGGAUGUGACAUCAAGCCACGCCCCCUCCUGAUGUCUACGUGACAUGAAUGGAGGGGGUGUGGUCGUGACAUCACGUCCCCGUCUCGGAGGCAGCUCCCGGCACAGAAUGCCGGGGGCUGCACCAAGAUCGCAGGGGUCCCCAGCGGCAGGACCCCUGCGAUCAUAAAUCUUAUCCUCUAUCCUUUGGGUAGGGGGAUAAGAUGUAUAAAGCCGGAAUUCCCCUUUAAAGGGAGUACUCCGCUGCUCAGCGUUUGGAACAAACUGCUCCGAACGCCGGCGCCAGUAGCUCGUGGCGCCAUAGCCCCACCCCCUCAUGCCGUCACGCCCCGCCCCCUCAAUGCAAGUCUAUGGGAGGGGGCGUGACGGCCGUCACGCCCCCUCCCAUAGACUUGCAUUGAGAGGGCAUAGACUUGCAUUGACGUCAUGAGGGGUUUGUUCCAAACGCUGAGCAGCGGAGUACCCCUUUAAGACUGUAAUCCCAGUUCUUACCUGUUGACCUGAUCUACACGGUACACAUCAAGCGACGUUAUCUAAUAAAAUAGCGCAAUUGGUUGCUAUGGAAAAUGUCAAUUUAUAGCCGUAUUACCAGAUAAGCCCUGAUGUGUGCACGCCUAUACCCACUGUUAUACAUAUUGGCCUAUAUAUCUAUAUAGGUGUAAUGUUCGCAAGUAUUCAUGUUCCUAUAAGUCUACGUAGACACCUGUGCACUCAUGUAGCCCGAAGGCGCGUAUGUACCUUUCAAGCUGUAUAGCGUGAUCAGGUUAGAGCUCGUCUGGACGGGUUCAUGUACGAUGUUGGAGUUUAGUUUAAAGGUUUUUGUACUGAGAGGAACUGUUUAAAUGUUUUAUAUCUGUUUCUUUUAAGGUUAUUAUGGCAGAAAUUUAGCACUUAAAUGGGCAAAAAGGCCCAUGGUAGAAACACUGGAAAGGCCAUAUAAAAAAAAGCACUCAGCCAUUAAACUGCGUUUACAACCUG